This 508-nucleotide ribosomal RNA is filed under the name Hyphomonas sp. MS-M-83. RNAcentral describes it as "bacterial SSU rRNA". It matches the Rfam family "Bacterial small subunit ribosomal RNA", at positions 116 to 659 of the family's 1533-position model. Lineage: Bacteria; Pseudomonadati; Pseudomonadota; Alphaproteobacteria; Hyphomonadales; Hyphomonadaceae. The record is from RNAcentral.
CGUGGAAACGUGCCUUUCACUACGGAAUAGCUCUUGGAAACGAGUGGUAAUACCGUAUACGCCCUCCGGGGGAAAGAUUUAUCGGUGAAAGAUCGGUCCGCGUUAGAUUAGCUAGUUGGUGGGGUAAUGGCCCACCAAGGCGACGAUCUAUAGCUGGUCUGAGAGGAUGAUCAGCCACACUGGGACUGAGACACGGCCCAGACUCCUACGGGAGGCAGCAGUGGGGAAUAUUGGACAAUGGGCGCAAGCCUGAUCCAGCCAUGCCGCGUGAAUGAUGAAGGCCUUAGGGUUGUAAAAUUCUUUCGCUAGGGAUGAUAAUGACAGUACCUAGUAAAGAAGCCCCGGCUAACUUCGUGCCAGCAGCCGCGGUAAUACGAAGGGGGCUAGCGUUGUUCGGAAUUACUGGGCGUAAAGCGCACGUAGGCGGGUUAUUAAGUCAGAUGUGAAAUCCCGGGGCUCAACCCUGGAACUGCAUUUGAAACUGGUAGCCUAGAGUUCAGGAGAGGUU